RNAcentral lists this ribosomal RNA (468 nucleotides) under uncultured bacterium. RNAcentral's name for it is "partial 16S ribosomal RNA". It matches the Rfam family "Bacterial small subunit ribosomal RNA", at positions 28 to 507 of the family's 1533-position model. The record is from RNAcentral.
GACGAACGCUGGCGGCGUGCUUAACACAUGCAAGUCGAACGGAAAGGCCCUGCUUUUGUGGGGUGCUCGAGUGGCGAACGGGUGAGUAACACGUGAGUAACCUGCCCUUGACUUUGGGAUAACUUCAGGAAACUGGGGCUAAUACCGGAUAGGAGCUCCUGCUGCAUGGUGGGGGUUGGAAAGUUUCGGCGGUUGGGGAUGGACUCGCGGCUUAUCAGCUUGUUGGUGGGGUAGUGGCUUACCAAGGCUUUGACCGGUAGCCGGCCUGGGAGGGUGACUGGGCCCAUUGGGACUGGGAUACGGCCCAGACUCCUACGGGAGACAGCAGUGGGGAAUAUUGCACAAUGGGCGGAAGCCUAAUGCAGCAACGCCGCGUGCGGGAUAACGGCCUUCGGGCUGUAAACCGCUUUCGCCUGUGACGAAGCGUGAGUGACGGUAAUGGGUAAAGAAGCACCGGCUAACUACGUG